GCCUUUUUCGUGUAGUGGUCAGCACACUCGACGGGUAACUGAGAGGUCCUUGGUUCGAUUCCCUGAGAAGGUG
Stegodyphus mimosarum is the source of this 73-nucleotide non-coding RNA. The record is from Rfam. NCBI's taxonomy places the organism in Eukaryota, Metazoa, Arthropoda, Arachnida, Araneae, Eresidae.